Molecule: ribosomal RNA, 448 nt
Filed under: uncultured bacterium
Lineage: Bacteria
Description: SSU rRNA
Rfam family: Bacterial small subunit ribosomal RNA
Source: RNAcentral
AGAACGAACGCUGGCGGCAGGCUUAACACAUGCAAGUCGAACGCGUGUAGCAAUACACGAGUGGCGCACGGGUGAGUAACGCGUGGAUAUCUGCCUUUUGGUUCGGAAUAACCCCGGGAAACUGGGGCUAAAUACCGGAUGGUUCCUACGGGAUAAAGAUUUAUCGCCAAAAGAUGAGUCCGCGUCCGAUUAGCUAGUUGGUGGGGUAAUGGCCUACCAAGGCGACGAUCGGUAGCUGGUCUGAGAGGACGAUCAGCCACACUGGGACUGAGACACGGCCCAGACUCCUACGGGAGGCAGCAGUGGGGAAUAUUGGACAAUGGGGGCAACCCUGAUCCAGCCAUGCCGCGUGAGUGAUGAAGGCCUUCGGGUUGUAAAGCUCUUUUGGCGGGGACGAUGAUGACGGUACCCGCAGAAUAAGCCCGGCUAACUUCGCGCCAGCAGCCGC